Molecule: ribosomal RNA, 334 nt
Filed under: uncultured bacterium
Lineage: Bacteria
Description: bacterial SSU rRNA
Rfam family: Bacterial small subunit ribosomal RNA
Source: RNAcentral
ACUCCUACGGGAGGCAGCAGUGGGGAAUAUUGCACAAUGGGGAAACCCUGAUGCAGCCAUGCCGCGUGUGUGAAGAAGGCCUUCGGUUGUAAAGCACUUUCAGUAGGGAGGAAGGUAGUGUAGUUAACACCUGCACUAUUUGACGUUACCUACAGAAGAAGCACCGGCUAACUCCGUGCCAGCAGCCGCGGUAAUACGGAGGGUGCGAGCGUUAAUCGGAAUUACUGGGCGUAAAGCGCAUGCAGGCGGCCUGUUAAGUCAGAUGUGAAAGCCCGGGGCUUAACCUCGGAAUUGCAUUUGAAACUGGCAGGCUAGAGUCUUGUAGAGGGGGUAG